RNAcentral lists this ribosomal RNA (156 nucleotides) under Lymantria monacha (black-arched tussock moth). Its description in RNAcentral is "partial large subunit ribosomal RNA". The record is from RNAcentral. Lineage: Eukaryota; Metazoa; Arthropoda; Insecta; Lepidoptera; Erebidae.
AAUUAUUUAUUUAAAUUUUAUAUUUUAUAAAUAUUAUAUUAAUUUAAUUUAAAUAAAUAAUUUCGUUGGGGUGAUGAAAAAAUUUAAUUAACUUUUUUUUUUCUUUUACAUAAAUAAGUGAGUUAAUGAUCCAAUAUUAUUGAUUAUAAAAAAAAA